GACGUAGAGUGCGAGCGUUGUCCGGAUUUAUUGGGCGUAAAGAGCUCGUAGGCGGCUCGUCGCGUCAGCUGUGAAAACCCGCGGCUUAACCGUGGGCUUGCAGCUGAUACGGGCGGGCUAGAGUUCGGUAGGGGAGACUGGAAUUCCCGGUGUAGCGGUGAAAUGCGUAGAGAUCGGGAAGAACAUCGGUGGCGAAAGCGCUCUACUGGACCGCAACUGACACUCAGGGACGAAAGCUAGGGGAGCGAAUGGG
RNAcentral lists this ribosomal RNA (253 nucleotides) under uncultured bacterium. Its description in RNAcentral is "partial 16S ribosomal RNA". It matches the Rfam family "Bacterial small subunit ribosomal RNA", at positions 524 to 776 of the family's 1533-position model. The record is from RNAcentral.